RNAcentral lists this ribosomal RNA (119 nucleotides) under Ricinus communis (castor bean). Lineage: Eukaryota; Viridiplantae; Streptophyta; Magnoliopsida; Malpighiales; Euphorbiaceae. The record is from RNAcentral.
GAGUGCGAUCAUACCAGCACUAAUGCACCGGAUCCCAUCAGAACUCCGAAGUUAAACGUGCUUGGGCGAGAGUAGUACUAAGAUGGGUGACCUCUUGGGAAGUCCUCGUGUUGCACCCC